This is a non-coding RNA of Carassius carassius (crucian carp), 469 nucleotides long. The record is from the annotation of a RefSeq genome assembly. Lineage: Eukaryota; Metazoa; Chordata; Actinopteri; Cypriniformes; Cyprinidae.
ACAACUACCAUCAUGUUCACUUGUGUGCUUUUACUCCUGACUUUUACUCAAGGUAACAGAGCUAAAGAUGUCAUCACCCCAUACAGUGAAGCAGCAUUUGCCACUGAGACUGAGAGUGUGAAACUCUCUUGUAACUACACUGGUUCUGUUGAGAGUCUUCACUGGUAUCUGCAACAUGCAGGUUCACCACCACAGUUCCUCAUUCUGGAUUACUAUGGAACAACUACUCGUGCGAAUCCUGGAAUAUCCAUCAGUCACAGAAAAGAAGAGAACAGUGUGGAUCUGAUCAUCUCCUCUGCUGCUGUAUCAGACUCUGCUCUCUACUACUGUGCUCUGCAGCCCACAGUCACAGGAAACACUCUACACACCAUACAAGAACCUGACUGGCUCUAUAAAUUAGAUGUCAAAAACAGCAAGUAGUAUCCACACUGAAGAAUGUUACAUUCAAAUUCAUAUUUAACUAUACAUU